This is a long non-coding RNA of Rosa chinensis, 1365 nucleotides long. RefSeq lists it as uncharacterized. The transcript has 7 exons. The record is from RefSeq and is a predicted model, not a curated record. Lineage: Eukaryota; Viridiplantae; Streptophyta; Magnoliopsida; Rosales; Rosaceae.
GCACAUUUAAACAAAGUUGCUUGGCUAUUUUUCAUAACCUCUCGAUCUCUUCUCUCAGGACGCCUAUCACUCACAGCUCCCCAUCUCUCUCGUGAAAUCUCUAUCCUCCUCAUCGUUGAACUCUCACGUUCUACUCUCUCUCUCUCUCUCUCUCUCUCUCUCUCUCUCUCUUCAGAUUGCUCCUCUCUCUAUCUCACUCUUAGUCUUCUCUCGCUCACUUCUUCAUCCAACUCUCUUCUUUACCCAGAAAUCAUAGUCUUCCUCUCUCUUUCAUUCUGAAAUCCCAAAUAGGGAAGCCCCAAUCUUAGAUUCCCCGAAAUCAACCAAAUCUCUAUUGGUCGAACCCUCAAUCUAAAACCCAAAUUUCAUUCACCUAACUCUCGUCUCCACAAUUAGCCGGAUUUACACCGCACAGCCAUGGGCCAGGAACUUGAUGAAGAACAAGCAGCGCCGCUGGUCAUCCUCCGAUGGCAAGAUUUGGGUGAGUUGCCAGAAAAACGAGCUGAUUAUUAAGGCUCCCGAAAAGGCGAGAAUGGGGGUGGAAGAUGGUUUGCAGAAGAUUGCUCAAGAACAGCGGUGAAUCUAGGGUUUUGUAGAAGAAUACCCGAUAUCCACUGCUAGUUCCAGGUGAACUCUUGGCGAGAUUGCACAACUUCAAGAACUCUCACUUCUUAUUUCUGGAAUCUCUUCUUUCUUGCUUCUGGGGCCUUCUUAUUUGCUGAUCUCGAAAUCUCAAACUGCAGAAUGUCUAUUUGAAAUUGCAGAAUGGUUGAAUCAUUCAUAGCAAAGUCAUUGAAAAGCUAUAUAUUUCUUGGUCUAAAGCAUUGUUCUUUUACAUGGAACUCCAGGGACUAGAAAAAUCGCUUUAUGUAAAGCAUUAGCUCAAAAACUAUCCAUCUAAUUUAACUCCAGAUACCUACAGUCCCAAUUGCUUCAAAUUAAUGCACAUUUUCUAGUCAGCAAAUGAUACUAUGAAAAUGGCAAGUUGCUGAAAGUGGCAAGCUUGGUGAAAAUGGCAAGUUGAUGAAGUUGAAAGUCUCGCUGCUGUUAAAAAAUUUGCUUGAUCGAGUUUGGAACCUUCAGAUUCUAUUCAGGUUCUGGAGUGGCUUUUUUGGCUGAGGUGUCUUUGGUUGGACAUUUGGAUAGAAAUUGCAAACCACUCGCUUCAACUUUAAAGGUUUGACACCAUGGUUGCACAGACUAAGUUCCUGGAAUAGUGGGAAGACAAGAGUUUGUAUCAAUAUGUUGGCUAUUGAAACCAAGUUCCUGCACAAACUCUAUAUGUGGCAUGUUUUACGUAGUUGUAUCAGCUUUUGGGAAAUGCUUAUAACAUUAAGAGAUAUAUGGAAAAGGUUUGAUUACUCA